This 166-nucleotide unclassified non-coding RNA is filed under the name uncultured Meliniomyces. RNAcentral's name for it is "sequence contains ITS1". The record is from RNAcentral. Lineage: Eukaryota; Fungi; Ascomycota; Leotiomycetes; Helotiales; Helotiaceae.
CAGAGUUCAUGCCCUUCGGGGUAGAUCUCCACCCUGUGUAUUUAUACCUUUGUUGCUUUGGUAGGCCGCUGGGCUUCGGCCUGGCCACCGGCUGUAGCUGGUGUGUGCCUGCCAGAGGUUCUCAAACUCUGAAUAUUAGUGUCGUCUGAGUACUAUAUAAUAGUUA